Molecule: ribosomal RNA, 253 nt
Filed under: uncultured bacterium
Lineage: Bacteria
Description: partial 16S ribosomal RNA
Rfam family: Bacterial small subunit ribosomal RNA
Source: RNAcentral
UACGUAGGCAGCAAGCGUUGUUCGGGAUUACUGGGCGUAAAGAGUGUGUAGGCGGUGCUCCAAGUCUGGUGUGAAAUCUCCCGGCUUAACUGGGAGGGUGCAUUAGAAACUGGAAUGCUAGAGGAUGGGAGAGGUAAGCGGAAUUCCUGGUGUAGCGGUGAAAUGCGUAGAUAUCAGGAGGAACACCUGUGGUGUAGACAGCUUACUGGACCAUUUCUGACGCUGAGACACGAAAGCGUGGGUAGCAAACAGG